AGCUCGCUGGAUGACUGGCCUAGGCCUCCAGAUGAGGGAAAGGGGAAGAGAGGACGAGAGACGAGUCCUGGCACUGGUAUUCCUGGCAGAGACCCCAACCCCCAGGAGGGGCAUGUAGGGGUGAGGCUACACAAUGCCCAGAGAGGAUUCAUUAUGAGAAAAAUAUCACAGCUUUAAUAACUUACUUUGGAAAAACUAAUGAGAAAGCACAUUGGAAGCUUUCAGGUAAAGUCCAGCACUUCAUUCAUACAAAGUCUAUGAGAAGAGGUCAGCAGAGAUCAUCUAAUCUUAAGUCAAGACAUCAUCCAUUCAAGUCUUCGGCAC
Rhinopithecus roxellana (golden snub-nosed monkey) is the source of this 324-nucleotide long non-coding RNA. RefSeq lists it as uncharacterized. The transcript has 3 exons. The record is from RefSeq and is a predicted model, not a curated record. Lineage: Eukaryota; Metazoa; Chordata; Mammalia; Primates; Cercopithecidae.